This 507-nucleotide ribosomal RNA is filed under the name uncultured Glomus. Its description in RNAcentral is "SSU rRNA". It matches the Rfam family "Eukaryotic small subunit ribosomal RNA", at positions 569 to 1077 of the family's 1831-position model. Lineage: Eukaryota; Fungi; Glomeromycota; Glomeromycetes; Glomerales; Glomeraceae. The record is from RNAcentral.
AGCAGCCGCGGUAAUUCCAGCUCCAAUAGCGUAUAUUAAAGUUGUUGCAGUUAAAAAGCUCGUAGUUGAAUUUCGGGAUCAAUAUAUCGGUCGUGCCAUCGGUACGUACUGGUAUGAUUGGUUUCUCCUUUCUGACGAACCAUGAUGUCAUUAAUUUGGUGUUAUGGGAAGUUAGGACUGUUACUUUGAAAAAAUUAGAGUGUUUAAAGCAGGCUUUGGCUUGAAUACAUUAGCAUGGAAUAAUGAAAUAGGACGUUCGAGCCUAUUUUGUUGGUUUCUAGGAUCAACGUAAUGAUUAAUAGGGAUAGUUGGGGGCAUUAGUAUUCAAUUGUCAGAGGUGAAAUUCUUGGAUUUAUUGAAGACUAACUACUGCGAAAGCAUUUGCCAAGGAUGUUUUCAUUAAUCAAGAACGAAAGUUAGGGGAUCGAAGACGAUCAGAUACCGUCGUAGUCUUAACCAUAAACUAUGCCGACUAGGGAUCGGAUGAUGUUAAUUUUUUAAUGACUC